UGUAAAUUGAAAUCAAUCCCGCUUUCAUUUUCGCCACUCCCUCCAACAACAAGACCUAGUACAAUAUACCUGGAUCUAAAAACAAUCUCUCGUUCUCCCUCACCAGUCACCACGCAACACCCCGUCAUUCCCUUCACUGCACCAACCGUGGUUCUCAGCAGCAUCGCCACCCGCUCUUCCCCCUCAGCACGCCGUGAAUCCACGAAUCCGAACCUUGGUUGCCAUCGUCGUUUGUCGUUGCAGGUUCACACGCAGGAGACGAGGCUCUCGUUGUGGGUUCCCGUGAUAACUGUCACUGGUUAGCGUGAACAUCCAUGGUUUCUCGUACGGGCGCUCUCCGUCCGCUUCUUCACUGGCGGCUCGGUGCCCCUCCGCAUCUUCCGCUCUCAUAUCCUUUCUUGUUUCCUUGAACUUAUUCACUGCCUAGUCAGAAACUCAUGUCUUCCGGCGAAGACAACAUGGCGGCGAUAGAGUGGAAGUGAUAGCAACAGAGAUCAGAACAUACCUGAGGCCCAAGCUAUGGAUGAAGACAGACCCGAGACCCACGAUGGAAGGCCCAAGAGAAGUACCAAGCGACCUGCGUAUCUGGACAAUUACGCAUAACAGUUAUUGGGGAAGAAUUAAGGGAGUUAUUUACAAUUGUUUUUCCGUUUCAGAAUUCUGUUAGAAAAGCUGCUAGGAACCCGUUAUUGCAAUCAUGCUUUGUAAAUUUUAUUACACAGAAUCACCCCACGAAAUGUAUUUACAUAAGAUUGCAAUGAAUUAAAUGGUAAGAAGAAUUCCAGCUCAUCACCUUUAGUGUAGAACGGAGGUUCCCUUGCCCUCAAAAUGAAGGACCAUUGUCCUCUGCUUGUAUCAGGAAGCCAUCAGAGCUGAAACCCAAUGUUUCGUUGUCUGGCGUUAAGGUCGUGACUGAUUCGGUAGUGGUCUCUGAUGAUGGUGAUAUCCCUUAAAUUUUGACUAUAUAUAUAUAUAUAUUUUUUUUUUUUCUUUUACUUUUGGUACUUCCUUAAUAUACUAAUGUGAGGAUGAAAAUCUAUAAGACUGUAUAAUUGUAAAGUUCUGUGACUUCUAUCCCCUUCUAUUUAUGUUUUGUAUGGUAGUGAUACACUAGGGUGAAUUGUUUAAUGUGGUUGUUUUAAUCAUCUAUUAUUUUUGAAUUGGGAGACGAUUUGUUUGAUUUUGUUUGUAUUUGCUUCAAUUCUGGUUUGCCUUCUUUCCUUCAGGAAGAAAAAAUGUUAGGUGAUGAAGAAAUUUGUUGGUGGCUGGUGUGAUUAUAGAUGCUUUAAUUUUUAAAUAUGAGAGUGGAGCCAUGUCUGAUUGGCUCUGUCUGAUUUCUUGGAACAAAAUUCGUUGAUAGUGAUAGUGAUGUCCUAGGAAGCAUGGUUGAAUUGGACAAUUGAAGCUAGUUUGCUGAGACUGUAAAAAUAAUUUGCUUUUGAACAGUCACCUAAUUAAUCAUGUUUUUGAUAAGUCAUUUGGUUUUGACAUUGCUGUUGAAGAGGCACAAGGAGCCAUAAACUUUGCUCAUGUGGAAGCAGAAAGCACUGAGAAUGGUAUCGAUAUUGUCAAGCUUAUGGGUCGUUACAGUGGUGUUGGUUUUGUGACAUAUGUUUGGUAGUGAAAUUUAAAUAUUUGCAUGGAAGCCAAAGAAUGUAUUAGAUCCGGGAAUACAAUGAUAGAGGCAGAAUCCCCAUCAUUUUAGCAGGUGGCAAUGAGGAGUAAAGCUCUAAACCUGGUUCAUGUCCUUGAUAGUGCUGCUGCUGCUACUACAACUGCACCUGUUGUUGUCUCACCUAUGAGACUUUGGAUUCAUGUCCUUCAUGUCCUUCUCUAACAAUACAAAUUUAAGUUGUACGAGGGAAGAGGCUCUGAAUUUCGGUGCCUUGAGCGAUUCUGAUGGAGGGAAGCAGUUACUUGAUAACAUAUUGUGCAUUAAUAUAAGUGGAUUGACUGGACCUAUUCAAUUUGGUUUAGAUAGAUCUCCUCUAAAUCCAUCAUAUGACAUUCUUAAUGUAAUUGGUACAGGUUAUAGGAGAAUCGGCUACUGGUCUAGUUACUCUGACCUUUCUCUAAUAACCCCUGAGAAACUUCAUGCAGAGCCUGCCAAUCGUUCAAUUUGAAGCCAACAUCUAAACUGUGUCAUAUGGCCAGGAAAUACAACAGAAAAGCCUCGUGGAUGGGUUUUCCCAAAUAAUGGGAGGUAACUGAGAAUUGGAAUUCCCAACAGAGUUAGCUAUUAAGAUAUGAUCUCCCAAAUAAAUGGCACCAAUGCAAUUCGAGGAUAUUGCAUAGAUAUAUUCCUAGCUGCCUUUAAAUUGCUUCCCUAUGCAGUUCAAUACAAGUUCAUUCUGUUUGGAGAUGGACACAAGAACCCAAGCUACUGUGAUCUUGUCAAAAUGAUUACUUCUGAUGUUUUUGAUGCUGCCAUAGGUGACAUUGCGAUUGUCUCUGUCCGAACAAAGAUUGUGGAUUUUACUCGACCAUACAUAGAGUCGGGGCUAGUUGUGGUUGCUACAGUAAAAAAAAUUGAAGUCAAAUGCUUGGGCUUUCUUGCGACCAUUUACUCCACAUAUGUGGGGUGUCACUGCAUUUUUUUUCCUCUUUGUUGGAGCAGUGGUGUGGAUUCUUGAACAUAGAACAAACGAUGAGUUUUGAGGGUCACCGAGGGAACAUAUAGAUACAGUUCUUUGGUUUAGUUUGUCAACCAUGUUCUUUGCGCACACACACAAGUAGAGAGAGACACAUAACAUUUGGCAUUGUGGAAUCUGAAGUGAAAGGAAAAGAAAAAAAGAUCUUUGCAUCAAACCCUAAUCCUAAAAAUGUGUACCUCAUCGGAGGUUUGCAAGUGGAGUUUCCCUACCAACCAUAUGGAUCUCAGUUUGCGUUUAUGGCUAGAGUGAUUUCCACCCUUAAUCUAGUUCAGAAAGAAGGCCAUUGUCACGCGUUGCUUAAGUCUCCAAGCGGUACUGGUAAGUCCCUUUCGCUUCUUUGUUCCUCUCUCGCUUGGCAGCACCACUUAAAUCUCAACAUGACCAUCUCAAGCCCGCGUCGGAGGCAACCACCGAUCCUCUGGCUCUGGUGGCGGAUUUGUUCCCGAGGAGUUUCAGAAAUUCCCGACCAUACGUAAAUUGAGAUCAACAACAAGAAGCAGAAGAAAAAGGAAGCACCAACCAUAUAUUAUGCCUCGAGAACGCACUCACAAAUUUCUCAAGUGGUUCGUGAAUUGCGGAAAACUGCAUACAGGGUGCCUAUGGCUGUGUUGGCAUGGCGGAAACACUGCUGCACAACUAAAAAUAUAAUUGGCAAAGAGAACAUCUAUGAUGAAUGUAAACUAUUAUUGAAAGAUCAGGCAACAGGGUGUCCAUAAUUCAAAAAUGCUCAUAAAGUCAAAGGUCAUCCUUCCCUUCAGAAAGGAGGAUGCAAUGUGGUGCAUGACAUAGAAGAUCUUGUAAAAGUUGGACAAUUGGUAAAAGGUUGCUGUUCGUGCUCGUUCUAUGUCAAAUGAUGCUCAAUUGGUAUUUUGUCCAUAUAACUACAUCAAUAAUCCAGUCAUUUGGGCACCAAUGGAAGUGGAUAUUAAAGUAGGCAUAGUUAUUUUCGACGAAGCUCAAUAAUAUAUGGAUUCCGGAUGUCUUUCACAAACCAUCAGUUGCAUGCUAUCCAAUGUUGCAGCAAUAUGGAGGACAUUACUCGUGAUGCUAGCAGUGUGGAUAAUGAAGAAGAUGUUUUGGAUAGGCCUUACUAGUCGGAUGGAACAGAAGAAAAACAAGCUAGAAAAACGUGAUUUUCAGCACUGUGUCAAGGAGUUAAGGAUUUUGUCAUUCUUUAUGCCUUUUUCAACUAUUAAUUUGUGAAUGCAUUUUUCAUUUUGUAAUUUGGCUGUUUCAGUUCAACAAUUUUAUAGUAUUUAAGAUUAGGGUUUAGGGUUGAGGGUUGAGGGUUGAGGGUUCAGGGGUUCAGGGUUCAGUGUUCAGGGUUCAGGGUUCAGGGUUCAAGGUUCAGGAUUCAGGGUUUAAGGUUUAGGGUUUACCGUUUCGCGCUUCCACUCUGGUGAUUGCAGCUCUGCCUCUUUCCUCCCACAACACUUCCUUCUUGUCUCGUCCUUUACAUGAUUGUCUCCUAAUACGUCCUAACUAAAUUUGAAAAUUAAGUAAAUAUUUUCCUUUUUAAACUC
Molecule: long non-coding RNA, 4177 nt
Organism: Glycine soja
Lineage: Eukaryota; Viridiplantae; Streptophyta; Magnoliopsida; Fabales; Fabaceae
Exons: 15
Source: RefSeq, a predicted model, not a curated record